This 358-nucleotide ribosomal RNA is filed under the name uncultured bacterium. RNAcentral's name for it is "bacterial SSU rRNA". It matches the Rfam family "Bacterial small subunit ribosomal RNA", at positions 9 to 353 of the family's 1533-position model. The record is from RNAcentral.
GAGUUUUGAUCAUGGCUCAGGAUGAACGCUAGCUACAGGCUUAACACAUGCAAGUCGAGGGGAAACGACAUCGAAAGCUUGCUUUUGAUGGGCGUCGACCGCGCACGGGUGAAUAACGCGUAUCCAACCUGCCCACCACUUGGGGAUAACCUUGCGAAAGUAAGACUAAUACCCCAAUGAUAUCUCUAGAAGACAUCUGAAAGAGAUUAAAGAUUUAUCGGUGAUGGGAUGGGGAUGCGUCUGAUUAGCUUGUUGGCGGGGUAACGGCCCACCAAGGCAACGAUCAGUAGGGGUUCUGAGACGGAAGGUCCCCCACAUUGGAACUGAGACACGGUACCAACUCCUACGGGAGGCAGCA